GACGAACGCUGGCGGCGUGCUUAACACAUGCAAGUCGAACGGGAAGACAUGAAGAGCUUGCUCUUUAUGAAAUCCAGUGGCAAACGGGUGAGUAACACGUAAACAACCUGCCUUCAGGAUGGGGACAACAGACGGAAACGACUGCUAAUACCGAAUACGAUUCUUGAGUCGCAUGACACAAGAAAGAAAGGGUGGCCUCUACUUGUAAGCUACCGCCUGAAGAGGGGUUUGCGUCCGAUUAGGUAGUUGGUGAGGUAACGGCCCACCAAGCCGACGAUCGGUAGCCGGUCUGAGAGGAUGAACGGCCACAUUGGAACUGAGACACGGUCCAG
RNAcentral lists this ribosomal RNA (332 nucleotides) under uncultured bacterium. Its description in RNAcentral is "bacterial SSU rRNA". It matches the Rfam family "Bacterial small subunit ribosomal RNA", at positions 28 to 334 of the family's 1533-position model. The record is from RNAcentral.